UCUGAAGAACAGUAUGGAGGUUCCUCAAAAAAUUAAAAAUAGAAGUAUCCUAUGACCCAGCAAGUGCACUACUAGGUAUUUAUCCAAAGGAUACAAAACUGCUGAUUUGAAGGCCACAUGCACCCUCACUAUUUACAAGCACCAGAAACACAGAAGACCUUAUUGA
This is a long non-coding RNA of Herpailurus yagouaroundi (jaguarundi), 166 nucleotides long. RefSeq lists it as uncharacterized. The record is from RefSeq and is a predicted model, not a curated record. The transcript has 3 exons. NCBI's taxonomy places the organism in Eukaryota, Metazoa, Chordata, Mammalia, Carnivora, Felidae.